RNAcentral lists this ribosomal RNA (508 nucleotides) under Parachauliodes nebulosus. RNAcentral describes it as "partial large subunit ribosomal RNA". It matches the Rfam family "Bacterial large subunit ribosomal RNA", at positions 1893 to 2594 of the family's 2925-position model. Lineage: Eukaryota; Metazoa; Arthropoda; Insecta; Megaloptera; Corydalidae. The record is from RNAcentral.
GUCUUUUUGAUUAUAAUUUAAAGUCUAACCUGCCCACUGAAAUUUUUGAAGGGCCGCGGUAUUUUGACUGUGCAAAGGUAGCAUAAUCAUUAGUCUCUUAAUUGGAGGCUUGUAUGAAUGGUUGAAUGAGGUAUUAACUGUCUCAAUUUGAUAAAUAAUAGAAUUUUAUUUUUAAGUUAAAAAGCUUAAAUAAUAUUAAAAGACGAGAAGACCCUAUAGAUCUUUAUAAUUAAUUUUAUAAUAAUUUUUUAGAUUAAAUUUAUUUUUUUAAGGUUAAUUAUUAUAUUGGGGUGAUAAAAAAAUUUAUAAAACUUUUUUUGUAAACAAACAAUGAUAUUUGAGUUAUUGAUCCAUUUUUUGUGAUUAUAAGAUUAAGUUACCUUAGGGAUAACAGCGUAAUUUUUUUGGAGAGUUCUUAUCGAUAAAAAAGAUUGCGACCUCGAUGUUGAAUUAAAGGUAAAUUUUAGGUGUAGAAGUUUAAAAUUUUGGUCUGUUCGACCAUUAAAUC